This 253-nucleotide ribosomal RNA is filed under the name uncultured bacterium. Its description in RNAcentral is "partial 16S ribosomal RNA". It matches the Rfam family "Bacterial small subunit ribosomal RNA", at positions 524 to 776 of the family's 1533-position model. The record is from RNAcentral.
UACGGAGGGUGCGAGCGUUGUCCGGAAUCAUUGGGCGUAAAGGGCGCGUAGGUGGCCUGCUAAGCGUGCGGUGAAAGCUCGGGGCUCAACCCCGAGUCGGCCGUGCGAACUGGUGGGCUUGAGCACUGUAGAGGCAGGCGGAAUUCCGGGUGUAGCGGUGGAAUGCGUAGAGAUCCGGAAGAACACCGGUGGCGAGGGCGGCCUGCUGGGCAGUAGCUGACACUGAGGCGCGACAGCGUGGGGAGCAAACAGG